GAUGAACGCUGGCGGCGUGCCUAAUACAUGCCAGUCGAGCGAACAGACGAGGAGCUUGCUCCUCUGACGUUAGCGGCGGACGGGUGAGUAACACGUGGAUAACCUACCUAUAAGACUGGGAUAACUUCGGGAAACCGGAGCUAAUACCGGAUAAUAUAUUGAACCGCAUGGUUCAAUAGUGAAAGACGGUUUUGCUGUCACUUAUAGAUGGAUCCGCGCCGCAUUAGCUAGUUGGUAAGGUAACGGCUUACCAAGGCAACGAUGCGUAGCCGACCUGAGAGGGUGACCGGCCACCAUGGAACUGAGACACGGUCCAGACUCCUACGGGAGGCAGCAGUAGGGAAUCUUCCGCAAUGGGCGAAAGCCUGACGGAGCAACGCCGCGUGAGUGAUGAAGGUCUUCGGAUCGUAAAACUCUGUUAUUAGGGAAGAACAAAUGUGUAAGUAACUAUGCACGUCUUGACGGUACCUAAUCAGAAAGCCACGGCUAACUACGUG
RNAcentral lists this ribosomal RNA (497 nucleotides) under uncultured bacterium. RNAcentral describes it as "partial 16S ribosomal RNA". It matches the Rfam family "Bacterial small subunit ribosomal RNA", at positions 28 to 507 of the family's 1533-position model. The record is from RNAcentral.